UGAGUUUCUAAUAUGUAUUACAUAUAACAUACUGGUACGGGUGAUACGUGAUCAUAAGGAACUCGUAAACAGUUAGACUUGUAAACUAGUAGAGUCCAAGUUUCAUAGCUCAAACAGGGUAAACAUUGUAAUUAGCCUAGUAAAGCUUACUUUUUAAUAUUUAAACACUACAAAACACUACAGGAACCGGCAUUAAAGCUGCUGGCUUAAUAACAACCGCCUGAUAAUAUAUUGAAAAACCCAGACAAAUAGAUUCCGUGUCUAAUUUCCUAACGUUGGCUGCACCAUACACACACACAAUUAAACAUUCAUGUUUAUUUCCUCAUUCUCCUGCAGCUGACGGUACGCUGCUCUUACAUGCAAAGUAUCUGACGAGAUGACAUUUACACAUCCGUUUUAUAUCACAUAUAUAAAUAUAUAGGGGACUUAAUAAAACAAAGAUUUUCAGUUCCUAAUUAAUUAACAAUCAUGAAUAUCGCAAUAAACCUGCAAGUUGCUGGGUUUUUUUUUUUUUUAAAUGAAUUCACCCACAAUAAUGUUUUUGUCACUAAUAUGUACUUUCUUUGUCAGGAAUAUAUAACGUUUUGUUGUUGUUUUGCACCCUUUAAGACAGGCCGAAUCCUAUGCUGUUUCUUGAAUGUCUAUUGUCUUUAUACGCUCGGUAUGAUGUACGGGUCGAAAGUAAUGCACGACAUACAGUACCCUGCAGUAUAAGAUUUCUUAUUGAGCUGUAGAGUAAGUGCGCAUCUGAUCAUGUCUGAUGGAUUAUUGUCGGCUAUGUAAACACUUCAAUGUGAACACUGUGUUAUAUAUAUAUAUAUAUAUAUAUAUAUAUAUAUAUAUAUAUAUUGGACACACUUUUCAGCAAAACAAUUCUCUUGUAUCAAAAAUUCUCUAGAAGUUUCUUAAACAAACACUGAGACGCACUGUUGUGUUUUUUGACAUCCUCUUUUUAAAUAAAACAAAAGAAAGUUGUAAAACUAAUCAGACACGUUAAUACACUGAAAACUUACACACAUCCAUUUAGUGGUCUACUUUACUUCCACUGCAAAGAUGAACUCUGUCUUGUUUUUGUUUGUUUGUUUUUCUGAACUGUCCAGACAUGUUCACUUGAAGGACCAGACCAAAGUGCUUCUACAAUUCCUAAGCAAAACUAUUAAGUCCCAAAGUACUAUACAAGAUGCUGCACUUAACAUAGAUAGUACUGUGUUCACAUGAGUCAGUACGAUAACUAAAAACAUAUAUCUUGUCUGGACAUUUUCUUGUCUGGAGUCAAAUCCCAAAUGGCUAAUUAUUGAACACAAUAGUGCAGGACGUAUAGGGGCUGAGAGUCAUUCUGAACUCAUGUAGGACACAUGUAUAGGGAAUAGGGAGCCAUUUGGGAUUCGCCCGAGUCAAAAGUCAGACAAACGGAAUAAAGUGGAAAGAGAGAGAAAGUUAUUGAAGGUUUCUGCAGCAUGAAGCUACAGGUCGGUUACUCACCCCGGCUGAAUGCUCCAGGCUUUACCUCGGCUGAGCAGAGCUGUGGAGAGGAUUCGCCGUGUGGGAGCUCAACUCAGCAGUAUGGCCCAAAAUGGCAGCACCGAGACGGAGAACCGGCCA
Molecule: long non-coding RNA, 1602 nt
Organism: Ictalurus punctatus (channel catfish)
Lineage: Eukaryota; Metazoa; Chordata; Actinopteri; Siluriformes; Ictaluridae
Source: Ensembl